GAUUCGAUGAGGGUGCCGCCGUAGGAGAUGCCAAUAGCACCGCCUGAAAGGGCAUGAGAAAGGUCUAGACCAUUUGGAUUGCGGUCGUCUGAUGUUGAAUUUGAUUAUCAGCUUGGUUGGCCACCAUUAGGAAGCAACGACAUUGGAAAGCUGAGAAGAUGUUUGUCUCUGAGUCAUGAAUGCGAAUGUAAGUCUUUCCUCUAUCUGUUGCUACUUAAAUCGGUC
This 225-nucleotide long non-coding RNA is filed under the name Elaeis guineensis (African oil palm). RNAcentral describes it as "long non-coding RNA (EGUI_LNC003395)". Lineage: Eukaryota; Viridiplantae; Streptophyta; Magnoliopsida; Arecales; Arecaceae. The record is from RNAcentral.